UACGAAGGGGGCUAGCGUUGUUCGGAAUCACUGGGCGUAAAGGGCGCGUAGGCGGCUGUUCAAGUCGGGGGUGAAAUCCUGGAGCUCAACUCCAGAACUGCCUUUGAUACUGGGAGUCUCGAGUCCGGGAGAGGUGAGUGGAACUGCGAGUGUAGAGGUGAAAUUCGUAGAUAUUCGCAAGAACACCAGUGGCGAAGGCGGCUCACUGGCCCGGUACUGACGCUGAGGUGCGAAAGCGUGGGGAGCAAACAGG
This 253-nucleotide ribosomal RNA is filed under the name uncultured bacterium. Its description in RNAcentral is "partial 16S ribosomal RNA". It matches the Rfam family "Bacterial small subunit ribosomal RNA", at positions 524 to 776 of the family's 1533-position model. The record is from RNAcentral.